GGGGAUGUAGCUCAGUGGGAGAGCGCCACAUUCGCAUUGUGGAAGCCGAGGGUUCGAAUCCCUUCAUCUCCACCA
RNAcentral lists this transfer RNA (75 nucleotides) under Bacillota bacterium. RNAcentral describes it as "Firmicutes bacterium (anaerobic digester metagenome) tRNA-Ala". It matches the Rfam family "tRNA". Rfam says of the family: Transfer RNA (tRNA) molecules are approximately 80 nucleotides in length. Their secondary structure includes four short double-helical elements and three loops (D, anti-codon, and T loops). Lineage: Bacteria; Bacillati; Bacillota. RNAcentral also lists the same sequence under 1 other name. The record is from RNAcentral.